RNAcentral lists this ribosomal RNA (253 nucleotides) under uncultured bacterium. RNAcentral's name for it is "partial 16S ribosomal RNA". It matches the Rfam family "Bacterial small subunit ribosomal RNA", at positions 524 to 776 of the family's 1533-position model. The record is from RNAcentral.
AACGUAGGACACAAGCGUUAUCCGGAGUUACUGGGCGUAAAGGGCGUGUAGGCAGAUCGGUAAGUCUACUCUGAAAGCUCCUGGCUAAACUGGGAGAGGCGAGUGGAGACUGUCGGUCUAGAGUGAGGAAGAGGAAAGUGGAAUUCCGCGUGUAGUGGUGAGAUGCGUAGAGAUGCGGAGGAACACCAGUGGCGAAAGCGGCUUUCUGGUCCUUAACUGACGCUGAGGCGCGAAAGCAUGGGGAGCGAACGGG